Molecule: ribosomal RNA, 198 nt
Filed under: Triticum aestivum (bread wheat)
Lineage: Eukaryota; Viridiplantae; Streptophyta; Magnoliopsida; Poales; Poaceae
Description: partial small subunit ribosomal RNA
Source: RNAcentral
AUGGAGUACCAGCCCAUCAUCUCGGCGCUCGAUGCGCGAACAGAACUGGUCUCCGUCGACAUCCUAUUCUCCAUGGUGGCAAAUUUCGAUUAGCGAGUCGAGAUGUUCCAUGGUACAAACGCCGGAUCCUUCAAAUCAUCGGCGAACGCUGCAUCCCAUGGUCGCCAGGGAAACACCAAAAACUACCAAAACCAGCGG